Long non-coding RNA from Sceloporus undulatus (fence lizard), 1995 nucleotides. RefSeq lists it as uncharacterized. The record is from RefSeq and is a predicted model, not a curated record. The transcript has 4 exons. NCBI's taxonomy places the organism in Eukaryota, Metazoa, Chordata, Lepidosauria, Squamata, Phrynosomatidae.
AUAUCCCAUGUUGCAUUUUCCUUAACAUACCCUCCUUAAUACAAAUACAAAAUAUUCCUACAGUUUGGAGGGCUAGGUUGUGAUGGUGGCCAGGGCUGUACAUUAUAGGGACUGUAGCAGCUGCACCCAGUCCUGGACCUGUCAGAUCCAUGAUGACACAUGCCUUCAUUACAAUCCAUUUGGAUUACUCUAACACAUAAUGGGUAAGUUAGGCAAAGCUGCCUUCUAUCAUCCUAUUUAUUCAACCUGUAUGCAAGGCAGGCUUAGACUCAGAGAAAGGAGUGAAAACAGGAGAAAGAAACAUUAAUAACCAAAGAUACAUAGAUGACACAAUACAGUAGGCUCUUGGUAUUUAAAUCCCCCCAAAAUCCCCAAAAAGCGGAAUCGUUUUCAGACUCAUUGGGGGCAUUGAGCAUUAAUGUGAAAGUAACCCUCACAUAAAGUGGACAAAAUCAGCCACUGACCUAGAAUGUUGCUGUAAAGGGAGAUGAGAUUUGCUGUCUAAUACCAGUGCAUCAUGCCACUAAGGAAUACAACAUAUUUUAAUAAUACAAUAAAAUGGGGAGGGGUGGUAAAUGAGCUUGCCUAUAGCUGUUGUUGUGUAUACCAUUAUCACUUUCCACCUACAUUGUGGUGGAAAGAAUGUGUUUUAUGUCCUGUUCCCAUUUCAUAAUCAAAAGUCGAUGCUCCGACACAUGAGCCAUUCAGAGGAGUUUCAUUCUCCUCCUGGUGAGCUGCUACUAUGGAUGACCUUACACAGAAGCCAAAAGCCAAAGAAGCCUAAAGAACUAUGACUCUUGUAGGGUGUCUUUUCUUGAAGCUAACAGCUUAUAAAUAAAACCCUGGCUUUCCUUCCAAAUCGCGGAGUUUUGAAGAGUAAUAUUACGCAGAUUUACAGUUCCCUGGUAGCUAAAGCUUUUUCAAAUGAAAUAUGAGUCAAUCAGGCAUUGAAUCCAUGGCUACCACAACAAACAAGACUACAGACAUUCAGUGGGGCCAGAAGAAAGUGAAUGUCUGCACAGUAACUCCAUACAUUCACUAAGAACAUAUGGUGAAAAGCCCCAAGAUGUUUGGGGUGUAUAAAUUUAGCUGAUACACUCCUUUUUUUACCAUUUCUAAUUGAGAAAGAUAUGCCAAUUUCGUCAGGAGCUCAAGGGCAUACUGGAUAUGGAGUUGACACAUCUAUACAAUGGCUUCCUAAAGGUGGAAAGAAGCUUUACUUAACACAGUCUUUCAGAGUGAAUUCCUAUCUCCAGAGAUAUCUAUACUGCCACUCUGACGCUGAAAACAGAUUUGAUAAACACUCGGAAGGUUGUGUGCAUAAAUCUACAAAGCCAGGUCUUGCCCACGGUGAAACUCUUCCUUCCAGGAAAAUAUUUAAAGCAGAUGAAAAGCCAGUGCUGAACAAUCAACCAGAAAGUACACCACCUCCAACUGGUUCAACAGUUCCAGCUACAGACAGUGCACCACUUACCAGCAAAAAGGCUGCAGACAAAACCAGCAAACACAAACCUAGAUCCUCACUUUGCAUUCUUCUAUAAAUGUUCUUAUGGGAACCCAAGCAUUAGAACUUUGCAACCAGUCAACAAGAAUAUAUCUAAAAGUUGCUUUCAUGGAAGUGUUCUGUUCACCAAAGUGGUGCCAUCAUGAAGAGCAGUCAUGACAGACUUUUUCUGCAUUUCUGCAUCCCUAGACACUUUCCCAGGAACUCAUCACUUGAAAAGUUUCCCCCCUUUGGUGAACUGAAAAGCAGCAGAUGUCCAGCCUCCAGCUACUUUGCACCCUGGCUUUUCUAUCUUCAGCAUCUAAUGGCAGAGGUUAGACCUCUGUUGACUUCUAGCCACCCAAGCAGGGGAGAUAGAGAGGAAAGUAAAAGCUAUCACAGUUGGUCCUCUGUAUCCAUGGAUUUAUUCAUGGAUUCAAGUAUCCACAGCUUGAAAAUAUUUUUUAAAAUUAUACAUUCCAAAAUGCAAAGCUUGAUUUUGCCAUUUUAUU